GCAAACUUGGUCAUUUAGAGGAAGUAAAAGUCGUAACAAGGUCUCCGUUGGUGAACCAGCGGAGGGAUCAUUACCGAGUUUACAACUCCCAACCCAUGUGAACAUACCUAUCGUUGCUUCGGCGGUUGCGCCCCGGCUUAGCCCGGAGCAAGGCGCCCGCCGGAGACCCCUAAAAACCUGUUUUUUUAACUUUGAGAACUUCUGAGUACAAACACAAAUCAUCAAAACUUUUAACAACGGAUCUCUUGGCUCUGGCAUCGAUGAAGAACGCAGC
This 274-nucleotide unclassified non-coding RNA is filed under the name uncultured fungus. RNAcentral describes it as "partial contains small subunit ribosomal RNA, internal transcribed spacer 1, and 5.8S ribosomal RNA". The stretch from base 1 to 73 matches the Rfam family "Eukaryotic small subunit ribosomal RNA", at positions 1759 to 1831 of the family's 1831-position model. The record is from RNAcentral. Lineage: Eukaryota; Fungi.